AGUGAACGCUGGCGGUAGGCCUAACACAUGCAAGUCGAACGGCAGCACAGUAAGAGCUUGCUCUUACGGGUGGCGAGUGGCGGACGUGUGAGGAAUACAUCGGAAUCUACUUUUUCGUGGGGGAUAACGUAGGGAGACUUACGCUAAUACCGCAUACGACCUACGGGUGAAAGCGUGGGAUCUUCGGACCUUGCGCGAUUGAAUGAGCCGCUGUCGGAUUAGCUAGUUGGCGGGGUAAAUGCCCACCAAGGGGACGAUCCGUAGCUGGUCUGAGAGGAUGAUCAGCCACACUGGAACUGAGACACGGUCCAGACUCCUACGGGAGGCAGCAGUGGGGAAUAUUGGACAAUGGGCGCAAGCCUGAUCCAGCCAUACCGCGUGGGUGACGAAGGCCUUCGGGUUGUAAAGCCCUUUUGUUGGGAAAGAAAAGCAGCAGGUUAAUACCCCGCUGUUCUGACGGUACCCAAAGAAUAAGCACCGGCUAACUUCGUG
Molecule: ribosomal RNA, 492 nt
Filed under: uncultured bacterium
Lineage: Bacteria
Description: partial 16S ribosomal RNA
Rfam family: Bacterial small subunit ribosomal RNA
Source: RNAcentral